This 379-nucleotide ribosomal RNA is filed under the name Pichia kudriavzevii. RNAcentral's name for it is "partial 28S ribosomal RNA". It matches the Rfam family "Eukaryotic large subunit ribosomal RNA", at positions 252 to 648 of the family's 3401-position model. Lineage: Eukaryota; Fungi; Ascomycota; Pichiomycetes; Pichiales; Pichiaceae. The record is from RNAcentral.
CCCUUCUGACGAGUCGAGUUGUUUGGGAAUGCAGCUCCAAGCGGGUGGUAAAUUCCAUCUAAGGCUAAAUACUGGCGAGAGACCGAUAGCGAACAAGUACUGUGAAGGAAAGAUGAAAAGCACUUUGAAAAGAGAGUGAAACAGCACGUGAAAUUGUUGAAAGGGAAGGGUAUUGCGCCCGACAUGGGGAUUGCGCACCGCUGCCUCUCGUGGGCGGCGCUCUGGGCUUUCCCUGGGCCAGCAUCGGUUCUUGCUGCAGGAGAAGGGGUUCUGGAACGUGGCUCUUCGGAGUGUUAUAGCCAGGGCCAGAUGCUGCGUGCGGGGACCGAGGACUGCGGCCGUGUAGGUCACGGAUGCUGGCAGAACGGCGCAACACCGC